UACGGAGGGUGCAAGCGUUAUCCGGAAUCACUGGGUUUAAAGGGUGCGUAGGCGGCGUUAUAAGUCAGAGGUGAAAUCCCACAGCUUAACUGUGGAACUGCCUUUGAUACUGCAAUGCUUGAAUCAGGUUGAGGUCGGCGGAAUGUGUUGUGUAGCGGUGAAAUGCAUAGAUAUGACAUAGAACACCAAUUGCGAAGGCAGCUGGCUAGACCUGUAUUGACGCUGAGGCACGAAAGCGUGGGGAGCAAACAGG
Molecule: ribosomal RNA, 253 nt
Filed under: uncultured bacterium
Lineage: Bacteria
Description: partial 16S ribosomal RNA
Rfam family: Bacterial small subunit ribosomal RNA
Source: RNAcentral